This is a non-coding RNA of Pelobates cultripes (western spadefoot toad), 229 nucleotides long. The record is from the annotation of a GenBank genome assembly. Lineage: Eukaryota; Metazoa; Chordata; Amphibia; Anura; Pelobatidae.
CUUCGGAGUGAUCACAUGACCCCCGGGGGCCUGAUUUGGCAUGGGAGGGCCGUCUGGGCUGUCAGGCAGUCCUCCCGAAGCGGAGCGCCGGGAAGGUAAGUAUCCCAGCAGCUCCAGGGCUCAAAGCCGUUACGGCGUUCUAUGCCGCCGCAACGGCUUUAAAGCCCAUUUAAUGCGGGAUGGCAUAGAACGCAGUAACGGCGUUAAGCAAAUCGUGUGUAUUGGCCCG